CGGAUAGAGGCGCAGGCUUCAUCAGUACCGUUUGACCACGCGGGGGUGACCGUAAACGGGAAAGGGGAGACUGCCGAGGGGUAUGCGGCUCACCGCGCCGUAUAUUGCCGGUACGUCGGAGAAUAUCCGCCGUGCUGUCACAUAUAUCUGUGGAGAGCUAUCGG
This 164-nucleotide non-coding RNA is filed under the name human gut metagenome. RNAcentral's name for it is "Lysine riboswitch". It matches the Rfam family "Lysine riboswitch aptamer". Rfam says of the family: Riboswitches are metabolite binding domains within certain messenger RNAs that serve as precision sensors for their corresponding targets. Allosteric rearrangement of mRNA structure is mediated by ligand binding, and this results in modulation of gene expression. The record is from RNAcentral.